This 22-nucleotide microRNA is filed under the name Blattella germanica (German cockroach). RNAcentral describes it as "Bge-Mir-34_3p* (star (passenger))". The record is from RNAcentral. Lineage: Eukaryota; Metazoa; Arthropoda; Insecta; Blattodea; Blattellidae.
CGACCGCUUCUGCACUGCCCUC